Alligator sinensis (Chinese alligator) is the source of this 8305-nucleotide RNA transcript. It is a transcript of the gene named protein phosphatase 2 regulatory subunit B'epsilon, with no coding region annotated. The transcript is spliced from 15 exons. NCBI's taxonomy places the organism in Eukaryota, Metazoa, Chordata, Crocodylia, Alligatoridae. The record is from RefSeq and is a predicted model, not a curated record.
GGCCGGCCGGGGGCCAAGCGCACCGUCGGGCAGACCCCCUGCCCAUCCCGGCGAGGCGGCACCUGUCUCCGGAGCAUCUCUUCGGAGCCUCGAAGCCCGCCACGGCCCAGGCGCGCCACGCAGGGGCGCGGCCGUCGGGGCGGUCGCGAAGCAGCGCCCGCCCCAGGGGGAAAAAACAAAAGAGGAUAAACGGUCUCUUUUUUAAAGAUGAUGCCAGCGUCCCAACUUGGCAUCCUCGGAUGCCGCUCGGUCCUUUGAAGCGAGGAGUUUGAUGUUUUCGGCGGACCCGGACUUUGUUACGUGCCCGCACGCGGCCUCGCAGCAAACCCGUCGUCUUUCUACGCACGCUUACACCGUCAUAAAGAAAAUAAUAAGAGCCUCCUUCUAAAGCGUAAAUCAAACCAGUUGAUUUAAAUCUAUUGUAUUUGUCUGCGGUAGACCGGUCCCUCAACACAAUAGCUAUUUGAAGGUGCUCUGUAACGUCAGCUCCCAGUAGCAGUAGGUGACCCUCUGAUAAAUGGAAGCCAACAGACGUUUGGGGUGAUUAACACCUUCCAAGCUCGUGCUUUAAGCCCCCGCUUUUGCAUGUGCUUACAUGUAAGCUUCACUUGAUUACCGUGCGUAUUGCCACUGAAAUACUGCUCAGAGCAGCAAAGUUAAACGUACAUAAGCACUGGUAGGAUUCAUAUCUAAAUCUCUUCCCCUUACAUCUUUCUUUUUCACUGAGAAGAUACCACGGGACUUUUUGACAGAGAAGACAACAAGGCUGGCAAAAAGCAAGAGACUGGUUGUUGAAUCAACUCUCUCAGUAUUUCUUUGUAAUUUUGUAAAAGUAGCAUGGAAGCUGCUCAGGAAUACUGGAACAUGAAACUGGAGAUAUGCAGAGAGAUUCACAGUGUAAAAGCUGGGUAUUUCAAAAGUGGAGAAUAAAUGACUAAUGUAUAGGGAUAUGUCCUCAGCACCAACCACUCCUCCGUCAGUGGAUAAAGUAGACGGAUUUUCUCGGAAGUCCGUCAGAAAAGCCAGGCAGAAGAGGUCGCAAAGCUCCUCCCAGUUUAGGUCUCAGGGCAAGCCUAUUGAAUUAACGCCUCUGCCUCUGCUAAAAGACGUUCCAUCUUCAGAGCAGCCUGAACUGUUCCUAAAGAAACUUCAACAGUGCUGUGUCAUUUUUGACUUCAUGGACACACUAUCAGACCUUAAAAUGAAAGAAUACAAGCGCUCCACUCUUAAUGAACUGGUGGACUACAUCACAAUAAGCAGAGGCUGUUUGACAGAGCAGACUUACCCUGAAGUAGUUAGAAUGGUAUCUUGCAAUAUAUUCAGAACUCUCCCACCUAGUGACAGCAACGAAUUCGACCCAGAAGAAGAUGAACCCACCCUUGAGGCAUCAUGGCCACAUUUACAGCUUGUAUAUGAGUUUUUCAUACGAUUUUUGGAAAGCCAAGAAUUCCAACCCAGCAUUGCCAAAAAGUACAUAGAUCAAAAAUUUGUAUUACAGCUUUUGGAACUGUUUGACAGUGAAGACCCCCGAGAGCGAGACUACCUGAAAACAGUCUUACACAGAAUUUAUGGCAAAUUUCUUGGUCUUAGAGCAUUUAUCCGAAAACAGAUAAACAAUAUUUUUCUACGGUUUGUUUAUGAAACUGAACAUUUCAAUGGUGUAGCUGAACUGCUGGAAAUUUUAGGAAGUAUUAUCAAUGGUUUUGCUUUACCUCUGAAGGCAGAGCACAAACAGUUUCUGGUGAAGGUGCUGAUUCCCUUACAUACUGUCAGGAGUUUAUCGCUCUUCCAUGCGCAGCUGGCAUAUUGCAUAGUACAGUUCUUGGAGAAAGAUCCUUCACUCACAGAACCAGUCAUUAGAGGCUUAAUGAAAUUCUGGCCAAAAACCUGCAGUCAGAAAGAGGUCAUGUUCCUCGGGGAGCUAGAAGAGAUCUUGGACGUGAUUGAACCUUCACAGUUCGUCAAAAUUCAAGAGCCCUUGUUUAAACAAAUUGCCAAGUGUGUGUCCAGCCCUCACUUUCAGGUGGCAGAAAGAGCACUGUAUUAUUGGAAUAAUGAAUACAUCAUGAGUUUAAUAGAGGAGAACUCCAAUGUUAUACUUCCUAUCAUGUUUUCCAGUCUUUAUAGGAUUUCCAAAGAACACUGGAAUCCGGCUAUUGUGGCUUUAGUCUACAAUGUGUUGAAGGCAUUUAUGGAAAUGAACAGCACCAUGUUUGAUGAGCUGACAGCCACUUACAAGUCAGAUCGUCAGCGCUUAUCCAAAGCGGCAGGUGAAAAAAAUGAGGAAACUUCGGGAACUCCGACUCGUUUAAGUCGUGCCUUUUGUGUGACUCAGGGUUCCCACAAGCAAAGCGAAGGGUACUGUAUGUCAUCAAACCUUGUUAGGUUAGUAUAGCCUCUGGAGGCACUUGGAGGCCAUGAUAUAUUAUUGAAUGACCAGACUCAUAGUUCACCAUCCACUUGUUUUGCUUUGAUUUUAGAGAUGCAAACAUGAAGUUUUAUAUUUACAGUCUGUAACUGAUGAAUUGGUUAGAUGAAAUAAUUAAUAAUAAUUUUAUUUCUGAAGACUUGGGUUUAAAACUGCACUAAGUCACAAGAGACUUGAUUGUUUCUUUGUAGGCCCUAAUAGAUGAGCCUUAAUUUAUCAGAUAGACCAAUCAGGUGAUGCAGUCAUUUUAUAUUUUGUAAUCAGUGAGACCAGAGAAUUCUAAAACAAGGAGUUAGAUCCAUCAAGGUGGUAAGAAGCCACUGCUGCUAGUGAAGUGAGUUGUUGCUUGAAGUGCUCUCCACACAUCCCACACAAGGCUCUCAGCAGAGGAUGUGACUUGCAUUAAUCAAGCUGUGUGAAGAAUUUUCCUAGCAUAUGCUUGAUGCUUGCAUUAAGUUAAUGCUUGCAUCUAACUUAAAUAGGGCUGGUGCUGAUCCUUUUACUACAUUUAUUUACAAAAUGCUAUUUUAAAGUAAAGUGUAAGUGUAUCAUGAAAUGUAUACAAUGGAAUAUAUAACUUAAAUAUUAAACCUUUUUUAAUAUUCACAAUUAAACAGUCACUGUUUUCUGCGACACCAUUAGGUUUCUCUGUUAAACAUGGCAUAGUGUUCAAACAUCUUGAUGUGCUGAUGUAAGUGCAUUAGUAUUUGUAGGGUGUCAUGUAGUCAAAAGUGGCAAAGAGUUCAAAAAAUAACAUUACUUAAUAUGGAAAACUUAUGAAUGAAAUUCCAAGGUAAAACACGCCCCCCAAAUGGAAGAGAUGAAUUGUUGUCUUUAUUGGGAUUAUCCACUUACAUACAUCUUCAUAGAAUCAGGGCCUCAGAAUAGAAAUAAGUGAUAAUACACGUCCAUUGGGUGCCUUAUUAGAACAACAUUUAUAAAAAUAAAAGCAGUAUGGUUGUUAUAAGACAGCUUCACAGAGCAGUUUUCAGAGCAGUUUUCAGUAUCAAUGAGGAUAAGUGUUCAAACAUGUGUGAAUUAAGAAGGAAGGAGAUAAACUACUGGACUGCUUUUAGUAAGAGGACCAUGUGGAGUACAAGGAUUAGAUGAUAGUUAUCAGUGAGAAGAAGAAGGAAAAGGAACGUGAAGAACUUUGGAAAAAACUGGAGGAUUUGGAAUUAAAGCGAGGUCUUAGACGUGAUGGAAUUAUUCCAACUUAACAAAAGAAACAAAACAACAUUAUUAACCUGUGGAGUCACACAUUUAUGUAGUAGAAGAUGGAGCAACAGUUUUCUGUAUUGUGCAACUUUACAGUAGAUUUCACAUUUGUUUCAUUAUUACAACAGCACUGUAUAUACCUGUCUCUAAGUAAAGGAAUAAUAAGGACUUUAAUCCAAAGUUUGGACAGCAGAUGGACUUCUCAGAACUUUGCAAACAUAAUAAUUGUUUUAACCCUUCUUUAAAACCAGUCUUCAAAGAUCUGUUGAUGAAAAUUGCUAUGUCAGAAUUCCAUUGUCAGGACUUUGUUCUUUAUUUAUCAUUAGCAGAGAGUAUGAUACAACUUUCAGAUGUGAACAAUCUUAAAUUUAGCUUGUCUUUCUGCUAAACUGUUAAAUGUAUUUAUAGUAAAAGAGAAAAAAAAAGACUGUCAUUUCCUUAUGAGUUUCUGUAACAUCCUCCUUCUCUGGAUAACUUUACUGUAAUUUUGACAUUUUUUUUUCCUUUUGCACAUCUUCAUGAGUUGAAUGUCCAUGCAGAUCAGGGCCAUGGAAAAUAUAGGUCCCUAAUAAAGUUUUGUUUACUGGUGCAAACAUUUUCUAGUACCAGUCAAGCACUGGUGCUCCUUUGAUUUGAACAUUGAGUAAACACAAAGAGGUGAUCAACAUAGGGGAAGGGGAUUUUGGAUUCAUGCAUCAAUUUAUCGCAAAUCUAAACUAGUCUCGAAUCCUUUGAAAAUGGGCAGUGGUAACACGUACAGAGUUCAGUACCUAACCAGUAUUAGCGACAUGCUAUUGGACAUACAUACUAGAGCUGUUACUAAUAGGUAAAUUAUUACAAGAUCUACGGUUUUUUUUUGGACCGUGUUGAAAUAAUAACGACAAACGCUAAACAGUACAAGCCUGAAAUUGGUUUCAAGCGGUCAUGGAUCUAAUUGGGAAAAGAGUUGAGCAAACAGUUUGGACUGUUUGGAGUUGUUGCCUUACUUUUUAAUAUGUAUUUAUAAAGUAUUCCAGCAAAAGAGGAUGUAGCCUCUGAAAAACAUACUCUAGUGAUUUUUUGUGACUCUAGUACUAUUACUCAUCGCAGCACCAGCCCUUUGGUUUUAGCUGGAAAGGAUUCUGGAUAAUAUACUUCCUGCAUUCUGAACUGGAUGCUCAUUCCUAACUACUGUAUUUGUUACCAAAAGUGGUUCUAGAAAUGCUACUGAAAAAAAAAUUCUGGAAAUCCUAAUGUCCUGAGUAUUAAUAAUAAAGUUUAAAAUGCUUUUAUAUCAAAGGUGCAUUGUGACCAAAUUGUUUAAAACAAAACAACAAGAAAAAGAGCACUGUAUUAUAAGUAUACAUUAUUGGCUAUCUACUUUGUACUUAAAAGUGGAAUCUUACAUCUUUGGUAGGUAAAAUGCUGAUAAGACUUAUGUACAGUAUAUAUUUAGCUAAUGCAGUUGCAUUAUUAUAUACCGAAAGGUAUGUGUUUCAGGAUUUUUCUCCAGGAUGCUUUUGAACUGUUAUAGAUGUAUGACAACAGUGAGUUGAUAAUCCUAAACCAUCAGUCCAGCAGUAUUUACAGUAUAAAGCUGACUUGGUGUUCUUGAGUCUUUGUGAUAGUUGCAAACAUGAAUUUUAUGACCUGUUGCCAUUGAUAGAAAUACAAUAUAAAUACAAGCUUAUAUAUUUUUCUUCCUACCAUUUAAACAUACAGUAGAAUUUGAGGUCUUACUGUUUCCAAGUGCAAAAAAAAAGGGGGGGGGGGGGGGGAGGAAAGAAAAAGGUUCAAUUGCCAGAUUACAGACUGUUUCAGGAUUAUCAGGUCACAGUUUGUAUACUUGGGUCUGCACAUAUGGAUGUUGUAAACUGAACAACUUUGUAAAAUCUUGACGCUGUUAAUUCUGGAAAAAGCAGAAGUAAACUAGUCAUGAAGCACCAAACACAACAUGGUUUAAUGGGAUUAAUAUAAGCUUCUUUUAAAUAUGGACUGGGACUCUGUGUGAAUUUGGCAAAUACUGUCAUAGGUGAAACGUUUUAUUUUCAAAGUGCUGGAGCAAAGGUGCAAGCUUAAAUACUGAAGACUAAAUAAAUUUAUAACAAAUACUGUCCCUUUAGCCCUGUGGUUUUGACAGUCUUUUGUUUUUAAUUUGAAUUAGAGUUAAAAUUGAUAAUGUGAAUUUUACCUUUGAAGUUAACAUGCGUUCUGAGAGGGCAGAGAGACAUAUGCCUGGCUAGACUGAGAAAUUUUCAAAAACUAAGCUAUUAUGGAAGAAAGAAAUCUCAAUGAUUCCAUGUUUUCUACCUGAUGGGAAUGAAAUAGAACAAUGUGAAAUUAGAAAAGGUACCUUGUCCUGUACUUAGAGAUGAGGUGAGUGUUGACUGUUCAUGGAUAUUCUUAACUUCAGCGUGACCUCCUGGUAUUAAUCAUACAAAACUAACGAGAACCUAGCUGGUUGCAAUAUUGUGUUACCUCUAAUGUGGGGAGAAUGGGGAAUAUCUAAACUUUAUAGAUGAUAUAUCACUUCCAAGAAGGAAUAUUUCUUUAAAUUGAAUGAGACAAUGUGAUAUUAGUCACAUGACUAAAAAGCUGAUGUAAUCUUAAAUUGCACUGUGUGAUGUACUUAAAGGAGCACUUGUCACAGUAGUACAACAGCACCCAUACGAUCCACUGUUGGCUGCAACCCAGAUGCAAUAUUCUGCCGUGUUCCAUGUGCAAGACUCCCAUGAGCAACAGUUGGAGUUUUAUGCAAAGAUGAAGGCAGUAUAUGGGCCCAAGUUGAUUGUGAUCCGUGCAUCUAUUUAAUUAAGCUUUUAUUUGCUUCAUGAUUUCCAGAAACUACCUUUUUUGUUGUUGAAUGUCUUUCACAGACUGCUAGCACUGUAGUUGAUGGGUGGUCGCUCAUCUCCUGUGCCAUAUUGGUUUCAGGUGAUUAAAUGUUAUCAGGUAAAAGUUUUUAAAAAACAAAAAAAACAACAAAAAACUCCCCCCAUCCCCCUACAUGUUUGUUACUAGGGCAUUGCUUCAGGCCAUGGGGGUACAAUGGUUGUAAAGUAAAGUUCCUCUUAGGUACUUUUAAUUGAGCACAUGUUGCUUUCUUCAUCUUGCAAGUUUCCCUUAUGGUUUUCUUUUCAUUGCUUUUGAGUGUUUUUGUGUCUCUUCCAAAUAUUUGAGUGCUUUAAAAAAAUACUCUAAUGCUAUUGGAGUAUUCACAGGCAGGGUUAUAGUAAAUUAAUCUUGGCUUUGUUAACAUAAAUAGAAGGAUUUAAUUUAUUUUUAUCUCCUUCUAUAUAUGGAAAAUUCUAGGAUGUAUAGCCAAGAAAAUUGCUUGAGAGUUGCAGCAGCUGUACUUGUAUAGUACAUGUAUAAGUAUUGCCUCAGGCUCUCUUACACUAUGGAAAAAGAAAAUAUAUUAGAAGCUUUAAAAGCUUUUUUUUAUUAUUGUUUUGUGGAAAAGGAGACAGGGAAAACUGGAUAGAUUCUCCCUUCCAAAAAUAUAUCCUGUUGUUAAUUGGGUGUGUAGAACUGGCUAAGAAUUUUUUUUUUUUUUUCAAAUGCUGCAUCACAAAGUAACAGUCCUCUAACAAAAUAAAGGUGACAACAUACAUGAUCAACAAAUGUUUUUAUUUGCACAUGAAUAUUUUAUUUUUGUAUUUUGGCUCACCUGCUUCCCAGAUCAGAUAUGGAAUGAGCCACAAAUUAGGUUUUCUAGGUGGUGUUGGCAGUGAGUUUUAUAUUCCCCAAUAUUGCAUUUUCAAAGCCUGUAAAAGGAUUGUGUAUUUUGAGCAAAACAGCUCAUUUUUUAAUUUAAAAGAAGGUUUUAUGCAGCGUUGCUUCCUGUCGACAGAAGCUGCGGCAUUUGUUUAAGAGAAACAGACACUCUUUUUAUCAUGACCUCUCUGGAUUCAGGUUUUGUUGGGGUUGUUUUUGGAUCACUUAUUGUAAAUAAGAUGUAAUCAUAACCUCAUGUCUCCAUGAGGAUUUUUCAAAUAUAAAUAGUACCAAUACAUUUCUUAUUGUUGUCCUAUUUUUGAUUGUAGUAUAAAGAAUGACUUGUCAUGCUUUUUGUUUAAAUUAGCAUUAGAUUCAUAGAUGUCUUGAUAUUUUAGCAUUUCAUUGUUUAAGCUGGAGAGGGCAGCAGACAUUCAUCCCCUCCCUCCCCCUCCCCAUAGGAAAGCUCUGGUCCAUUGCUGUUUUUAAACUUAGAAACUAUCUGUGGGUCAGGGGAAUAAAAUGAAACAUUUUUUUUUUAUAUGUGAAAAGUUGCAUAUGAAAAUAUAUAGACUGGUCUAACCAGACUGUGAAAAAGUCUUCUACUUUACAUCAAAGUAAUAAUACAAGGAAAACAGAAUCUUCCACCUUCGGGGUAAAGCAGGUCUUAAACACAUGGAUUCAAAAUGUUGUUCUUUGGAAAUGAGUUACUUUCUUAAAAAUGGUAUCAACAAAACAAACUCAAUGGUGCUCCCAGCUAUAAAUGUGUAACCUUCCUCUGGCACGUGUGCAAGAGGCUUCUGUACUGUGGGUGCAUCUCAAUAAAGAAGCAAUGAAGUGUUUCCUAGGUGGUUGGCUUUUCUUUUUUCCCUGCCCCCUUCCCCUCAGUCUAAAUUCCACAUACCAUUUUUCAGCCCUGUUUCUCCAGCCAUCAGAUACCGUUUCUUGUGCAAGUUAAAUAUU